RNAcentral lists this ribosomal RNA (604 nucleotides) under Streptomyces sp. RNAcentral's name for it is "bacterial SSU rRNA". It matches the Rfam family "Bacterial small subunit ribosomal RNA", at positions 271 to 885 of the family's 1533-position model. Lineage: Bacteria; Bacillati; Actinomycetota; Actinomycetes; Kitasatosporales; Streptomycetaceae. The record is from RNAcentral.
AGGCGACGACGGGUAGCCGGCCUGAGAGGGUGACCGGCCACACUGGGACUGAGACACGGCCCAGACUCCUACGGGAGGCAGCAGUGGGGAAUAUUGCACAAUGGGCGAAAGCCUGAUGCAGCGACGCCGCGUGAGGGAUGACGGCCUUCGGGUUGUAAACCUCUUUCAGCAGGGAAGAAGCGAAAGUGACGGUACCUGCAGAAGAAGCACCGGCUAACUACGUGCCAGCAGCCGCGGUAAUACGUAGGGUGCGAGCGUUGUCCGGAAUUAUUGGGCGUAAAGAGCUCGUAGGCGGUUUGUCGCGUCGAUUGUGAAAGCCCGGGGCUUAACCCUGGGUCUGCAGUCGAUACGGGCAGGCUAGAGUUCGGCAGGGGAGACUGGAAUUCCUGGUGUAGCGGUGAAAUGCGCAGAUAUCAGGAGGAACACCGGUGGCGAAGGCGGGUCUCUGGGCCGAUACUGACGCUGAGGAGCGAAAGCGUGGGGAGCGAACAGGAUUAGAUACCCUGGUAGUCCACGCCGUAAACGGUGGGCACUAGGUGUGGGCAACAUUCCACGUUGUCCGUGCCGCAGCUAACGCAUUAAGUGCCCCGCCUGGGGAGUACGG